AUUGAACGCUGGCGCAUGCCUUACACAUGCAAGUCGAACGGCAGCACGGGAGCAAUCCUGGUGGCGAGUGGCGAACGGGUGAGUAAUAUAUCGGAACGUGCCCAGUCGUGGGGGAUAACGUAGCGAAAGCUACGCUAAUACCGCAUACGAUCUAUGGAUGAAAGCGGGGGAUCGCAAGACCUCGCGCGAUUGGAGCGGCCGAUAUCAGAUUAGGUAGUUGGUGAGGUAAAGGCUCACCAAGCCGACGAUCUGUAGCUGGUCUGAGAGGACGACCAGCCACACUGGGACUGAGACACGGCCCAGACUCCUACGGGAGGCAGCAGUGGGGAAUUUUGGACAAUGGGCGCAAGCCUGAUCCAGCAAUGCCGCGUGCAGGAUGAAGGCCUUCGGGUUGUAAACUGCUUUUGUACGGAACGAAACGGUGAGCUCUAAUACAGUUUGCUAAUGACGGUACCGUAAGAAUAAGCACCGGCUAACUACGUG
This 483-nucleotide ribosomal RNA is filed under the name uncultured bacterium. RNAcentral's name for it is "bacterial SSU rRNA". It matches the Rfam family "Bacterial small subunit ribosomal RNA", at positions 30 to 507 of the family's 1533-position model. The record is from RNAcentral.